RNAcentral lists this long non-coding RNA (1000 nucleotides) under Gigantopelta aegis. Its description in RNAcentral is "uncharacterized LOC121392054, transcript variant X2". Lineage: Eukaryota; Metazoa; Mollusca; Gastropoda; Neomphalida; Peltospiridae. The record is from RNAcentral.
GCUGUUGUGUGUUCUCUCGUGUUCACGUUUCAGUGGAUUAGUUGCUGUUUGUUCUGGAGAAGAGGUCGCCCUCCCGACUAUCAAACCCGAUGAGAUAUCAUGAUGAUACUGGACACAGUCACAUUCUGGAUGGUCGCCGUGGCGUCAGUGGGUUUCGCGCUGAGGUUAGAAGAUAUCCGCUGCAACAAUCCACUAGAUAGUAUCAUACAACCUAAUGUGUGUGAACAUGGAUGUAAAGAUGGGUACUGGGGCAUGUACUGCAACAGACGGUGUCCCAAACAUUCCUACAAAUGUGACCGAUUCACGAGGUACUGCCUAGCGUCCUGCGCCGAUGGAUACUUUGGACAUGUAUGCAACUUCCCGUGCCCCCAUUGUAAGAGGUGUAACGAGCGGGGCAUGUGUGUUUCGGAUGACUAUAAUGUUAACACACAUUCGAAAUCACAACGUCAUACACAAACCAUGUUUGAGACCGAUUUAGCUUCAAGAGGGCGUGCUCUUUCUUCAAAUGUUGCCGUUGUGCUAAUUACCCUGUCAUUGCCUUGGAUCAAUUUAUGAUGGUACCAAAGAGCAUCAAUUUGGACAUGCCAGAUACAUCGAAUAAUGGUGACAAAAGAAGAUUGGCUAGUGGACAAUAUAAAUAACUAAUUAAAACAUGAUAUAUUCAUUAUAUAUCCAAUAACAAAUGUUUUUGUACUUAAAGACGUUUACCAAAUACUUUCCCAGAUUACAAAGCAUGUAUACCUUUGAACAGUAAGAAACUAUCAUUUUAAACAUUAUAGAAGAUCUAAACCAGUAAUAGCGUUUUGUAUAUAUUUUUCUUAUAUCAUUAAAUGCAGAACAACAUAAUACAAAAUGUUAUUCAUCUUCAAGAUUUCCACUAUUACAUAAUAUAGUUAUAUAGUAAAAGUUAUGUGCAGUUAAUCUUAAUUUAGAAACACAUACUGUACUCUAUACACAUUUGGGAUUGAUUUAAUCAAGUAAAGCUUCUUAUUUAAAGGGA